RNAcentral lists this non-coding RNA (45 nucleotides) under Schistosoma mattheei. Lineage: Eukaryota; Metazoa; Platyhelminthes; Trematoda; Strigeidida; Schistosomatidae. The record is from RNAcentral.
AUCCGACUGACGAGUCCUAAAUAGGACGGGACGCAUAUCCUGGAU